Molecule: ribosomal RNA, 314 nt
Filed under: uncultured soil bacterium
Lineage: Bacteria
Description: bacterial SSU rRNA
Rfam family: Bacterial small subunit ribosomal RNA
Source: RNAcentral
AGAUUGAACGCUGGCGGCAGGCCUAACACAUGCAAGUCGAGCGGCAGCACGGGAAGCUUGCUUCCUGGUGGCGAGCGGCGGACGGGUGAGUAAUGCAUAGGAAUCUGCCCGGUAGUGGGGGAUAACCUGGGGAAACCCAGGCUAAUACCGCAUACGUCCUACGGGAGAAAGCAGGGGACCUUCGGGCCUUGCGCUAUCGGAUGAGCCUAUGUCGGAUUAGCUGGUUGGUGAGGUAACGGCUCACCGAAGGCGACGAUCCGUAGCUGGUCUGAGAGGAUGAUCAGCCACACUGGAACUGAGACACGGUCCAGACU